GCGAGUGCGUUGUCUGCGGCGUGCGUUUGGCUGCUGCCGAUCGGGAUUCACAGUGCAUGGUUGUUCGCGCAUGGCGUGCAGGCUGAUCGCCUUGUUCUAGCGUCCAUCAAAUCAGCGUAGCGGCGCUGGCCAAGAGCGGCUAACAAAACGUAGCGAGCAGUCGUCAGGUGGAUGCGGACGGCGCGAAGGAACCGGAAUGUACGCGGGUACAUGCCGAUUCCGAG
Molecule: small RNA, 224 nt
Filed under: Xanthomonas campestris pv. campestris
Lineage: Bacteria; Pseudomonadati; Pseudomonadota; Gammaproteobacteria; Lysobacterales; Lysobacteraceae
Description: ncRNA of unknown function
Source: RNAcentral